This is a long non-coding RNA of Papaver somniferum (opium poppy), 537 nucleotides long. RefSeq lists it as uncharacterized. The record is from RefSeq and is a predicted model, not a curated record. The transcript has 2 exons. Lineage: Eukaryota; Viridiplantae; Streptophyta; Magnoliopsida; Ranunculales; Papaveraceae.
UUAUGUUUAUAUCAACGUUAUAAAUAAGGGUCUCACUCUACAUUAUAAAAGUACAUCUAUUAUUUACCUCAACGAAGAAAGAGAAAAAUACACCACUUCAGAUUUCAAGAGUUUGGGUCUUCUUUUCCUUCUCCUCACGACUCUAUUUUCCCUCAGCCAAGCAAGCAGAGACAUACCAGAGUUAGGAGAGGAAAUUGCUUCGGGCAGCAGCAAUAUUUACUUUCCAGGUUGCCGCCCAAGAACAUGUGAAGGAAUAGGAAAAUGUUGGUGUUGCGUUUACGAAAAAGACAUGUACCAUGGAUGUGCCAAGGAGAAGGAUGGAUGUAUAUCUAGAUGCCAUAAACCACCACAAAGGGCUUAAUUAUUAACAAUUAGCAAUACUUAUUUCUAUCCAAGAUUAAUGGUAGUAAAGUAUCCUUACUCAUCAUCCAUAUUAGCUAGCAUGUAAUGCAGCUCAAUGUUAUCAAUAAAAGGGAAAAUUCCCUUAAGAAGAUGUAAUGAUUUUUGAAUAAACGAGGUGUGUUAUGAUUUUUGGUA